CACGUAGUUAGCCGGAGCUUAUUCUACAGGUACUGUCUUGUUUCUUCCCUGCCUAAAGCAGUUUACAAUCCGAAAACCUUCUUCCUGCACGCGGCGUCACUGCAUCAGAGUUUCCUCCAUUGUGCAAUAUUCCCGACUGCUGCCUCCCGUAGGAGUCUGGGCCGUAUCUCAGUCCCAAUGUGGCCGUUCAACCUCUCAGUUCGGCUACUGAUCGUCGACUUGGUAGGCCUUUACCCCACCAACUAUCUAAUCAGACGCAAGCCCAUCUAUUAGCGGAUUGCUCCUUUCCCACUGAUACCAUGUGGUAUCUAUGGCAUAUGCGGUAUUAGCAAUGAUUUCUCACUGUUAUUCCCCUCUAAUAGGCAGGUUGCUUACGUGUUACUCACCAGUCCGCCACUAACCGCUUUACCAAAUGUAAAACAUUCGAAUUAAGUUCGUUCGACUUGCAUGUCUUAUGUGCGCCGCAGCGUUUUAUCCUGAGCCAGGAUACAAACU
Molecule: ribosomal RNA, 495 nt
Filed under: uncultured Eubacteriales bacterium
Lineage: Bacteria; Bacillati; Bacillota; Clostridia; Eubacteriales
Description: uncultured Clostridiales bacterium partial 16S ribosomal RNA
Source: RNAcentral